GCCCCCGUUGUCUAAUGGUUAUGACGUCAGACUUCUAAUCUGGAGGUUCCGGGUUCGAAUCCCGGUGGGGGUU
Molecule: transfer RNA, 73 nt
Filed under: Plicaturopsis crispa FD-325 SS-3
Lineage: Eukaryota; Fungi; Basidiomycota; Agaricomycetes; Amylocorticiales; Amylocorticiaceae
Description: tRNA-Arg (TCT) (tRNA-Arg-TCT-1-1)
Rfam family: tRNA
About the family: Transfer RNA (tRNA) molecules are approximately 80 nucleotides in length. Their secondary structure includes four short double-helical elements and three loops (D, anti-codon, and T loops).
Source: RNAcentral